RNAcentral lists this ribosomal RNA (782 nucleotides) under Mycena olida. RNAcentral describes it as "eukaryotic LSU rRNA". The stretch from base 250 to 403 matches the Rfam family "5.8S ribosomal RNA". The record is from RNAcentral. Lineage: Eukaryota; Fungi; Basidiomycota; Agaricomycetes; Agaricales; Mycenaceae.
AACCUGCGGAAGGAUCAUUACUGAAUUUAAUGAAGGCAGUUGCUGGCUCUUUCACGAGAGCAUGUGCACGCCUUCAAAUUCAUCUCUUACCACUGUGAACUGUAGUAGACUAUGAUAUCUCUCAAUGGUUUUCCAUUGGAUUGAAGGACAUGCGCUUAGCUGUCUUUCGACUUCAUAGUCUCCCCCUUAUCUUUAUAAACUAAAGUCAUAGAAUGUCUUUUGUGGGUGUAAAAACCUAUAAACAUAUACAACUUUCAACAACGGAUCUCUUGGCUCUCGCAUCGAUGAAGAACGCAGCGAAAUGCGAUAAGUAAUGUGAAUUGCAGAAUUCAGUGAAUCAUCGAAUCUUUGAACGCACCUUGCACUCCUUGGUAUUCCGAGGAGUAUGCCUGUUUGAGUGUCAUUAAAUUCUCAAACCUCAUAGGCUUUAUUGACUAUGAGGCUUUGGAUGUGGGGGUUGCUGGCUUUUCACGAAGUCAGCUCCUCUUAAAUACAUUAGUGGUUACUGUUCUCCACUUCUUGGUGUGAUAAUUAUCUACGCCUAGUGAAGAAGUAAAGUGUAGCUGCUUUCUAACCGUCCAUUUACUUGGACAACUUGAACCUAUUGACCUCAAAUCAGGUAGGACUACCCGCUGAACUUAAGCAUAUCAAUAAGCGGAGGAAAAGAAACUAACAAGGAUUCCCCUAGUAACUGCGAGUGAAGCGGGAAAAGCUCAAAUUUAAAAUCUGGCGGUUCUUGUAGCCGUCCGAGUUGUAAUUUAGAGAAGUGUUAUCCGCGCUGG